This 397-nucleotide ribosomal RNA is filed under the name uncultured bacterium. Its description in RNAcentral is "partial 16S ribosomal RNA". It matches the Rfam family "Bacterial small subunit ribosomal RNA", at positions 523 to 918 of the family's 1533-position model. The record is from RNAcentral.
AUACGUAGGGGGCGAGCGUUGUCCGGAAUGAUUGGGCGUAAAGGGCGCGUAGGCGGCGCGGUAAGUCUGGAGUGAAAGUCCUGCUUUCAAGGUGGGAAUUGCUUUGGAUACUGCCGCGCUUGAGUGCAGGAGAGGUUAUCGGAAUUCCCGGUGUAGCGGUGAAAUGCGUAGAGAUCGGGAGGAACACCAGUGGCGAAGGCGGGUAACUGGACUGCAACUGACGCUGAGGCGCGAAAGUGUGGGGAGCAAACAGGAUUAGAUACCCUGGUAGUCCACACUGUAAACGAUGAAUGCUAGGUGUAAGAGGUAUCGACCCCUUUUGUGCCGGAGUCAACACAAUAAGCAUUCCGCCUGGGGAGUACGUUCGCAAGAAUGAAACUUAAAGGAAUUGACGGGG